Molecule: transfer RNA, 85 nt
Filed under: Termitomyces sp. J132
Lineage: Eukaryota; Fungi; Basidiomycota; Agaricomycetes; Agaricales; Lyophyllaceae
Also listed under: 2 other names
Rfam family: tRNA
About the family: Transfer RNA (tRNA) molecules are approximately 80 nucleotides in length. Their secondary structure includes four short double-helical elements and three loops (D, anti-codon, and T loops).
Source: Rfam by way of RNAcentral
GCCAAUGUGGCUCAAUGGAUAGAGCAUCGCUUUCCUACCUUGAAUAGAAAGGCGAAGGUUGUGGGUUCGAUCCCCAUCAUUGGUU